AGUGAACGCUGGCGGCAGGCCUAACACAUGCAAGUCGAACGGCAGCACAAGAGAGCUUGCUCUCUGGGUGGCGAGUGGCGGACGGGUGAGGAAUGCAUCGGAAUCUGCCCAUUUGUGGGGGAUAACCUCGGGAAACCGGGACUAAUACCGCAUACGACCUACGGGUGAAAGCAGGGGAUCUUCGGACCUUGCGCAGAUGGAUGAGCCGAUGCCGGAUUAGCUAGUUGGAGGGGUAAAGGCCCACCAAGGCGACGAUCCGUAGCUGGUCUGAGAGGAUGAUCAGCCACACUGGGACUGAGACACGGCCCAGACUCCUACGGGAGGCAGCAGUGGGGAAUAUUGGACAAUGGGCGCAAGCCUGAUCCAGCCAUGCCGCGUGUGUGAAGAAGGCCUUCGGGUUGUAAAGCACUUUUGUUGGGAAAGAAAAGCAGCCAGUUAAUACCCGGUUGUCAUGACGGUACCCAAAGAAUAAGCACCGGCUAACUUCGUG
Molecule: ribosomal RNA, 490 nt
Filed under: uncultured bacterium
Lineage: Bacteria
Description: partial 16S ribosomal RNA
Rfam family: Bacterial small subunit ribosomal RNA
Source: RNAcentral